RNAcentral lists this ribosomal RNA (862 nucleotides) under uncultured bacterium. Its description in RNAcentral is "bacterial SSU rRNA". It matches the Rfam family "Bacterial small subunit ribosomal RNA", at positions 28 to 898 of the family's 1533-position model. The record is from RNAcentral.
GAUGAACGCUAGCGGCAGGCUUAACACAUGCAAGUCGAGGGGUAGUCAUCUUCGGAUGAUGAGACCGGCGCACGGGUGCGUAACGCGUAUACAAUCUACCUUAUACAAAGGGAUAGCCCAGAGAAAUUUGGAUUAAUACCUUAUAGUAUGUUUGAAUGGCAUCAUUUAAACAUUAAAGUUCCAACGGUAUAAGAUGAGCAUGCGUCCCAUUAGUUAGUUGGUAAGGUAACGGCUUACCAAGACAAUGAUGGGUAGGGGUCCUGAGAGGGAGAUCCCCCACACUGGUACUGAGACACGGACCAGACUCCUACGGGAGGCAGCAGUGAGGAAUAUUGGUCAAUGGGCGCAAGCCUGAACCAGCCAUGCCGCGUGCAGGAUGACGGUCCUAUGGAUUGUAAACUGCUUUUGUACAGGAAGAAACACUCCCUCGUGAGGGAGCUUGACGGUACUGUAAGAAUAAGGAUCGGCUAACUCCGUGCCAGCAGCCGCGGUAAUACGGAGGAUCCAAGCGUUAUCCGGAAUCAUUGGGUUUAAAGGGUCCGUAGGCGGGUUUAUAAGUCAGUGGUGAAAGCCCAUCGCUCAACGAUGGAACGGCCAUUGAUACUGUAGAUCUUGAAUUAUUAGGAAGUAACUAGAAUAUGUAGUGUAGCGGUGAAAUGCUUACAGAUUACAUGGAAUACCAAUUGCGAAGGCAGGUUACUACUAAUGGAUUGACGCUGAUGGACGAAAGCGUGGGUAGCGAACAGGAUUAGAUACCCUGGUAGCCCACGCCGUAAACGAUGGAUACUAGCUGUUCGGAGCAAUCUGAGUGGCUAAGCGAANUGAUAAGUAUCCCACCUGGGGAGUACGUUCGCAGAAUGAA